UACCUUUGUAAUAUUUUUUCAGGAUGCUAGAAUUGUGUCAGGGAUAUCAUUUGAUAUAUCCAGAAUCGGCGAAGUUUUUUUAAGCGAGAGAGCUUUUAAAAGAUUGUGUAAUCUCCAAUUCCUCAGGGUGUUUAAGACUGGAUAUGAUGAAAAAAACAGAGUGCGCAUACCGGAGAACAUGGAGUUUCCACCUCGUCUAAGGUUACUACAGUGGGAAGCAUAUCCGAGGAGAAGUCUUUCUCUUAAACUUAACCUGGAAUAUCUUGUCGAACUUGAUAUGGAAGGUAGCCUGCUCGAGAAGCUAUGGGAUGGAACUCAGGUUAGUUAUCAUAAAUUCAUAUCUUUAAUGAUGUUAUACAUAUUUUCUCUCUAUUCUG
RNAcentral lists this small RNA (377 nucleotides) under Arabidopsis thaliana (thale cress). RNAcentral's name for it is "ATSL283810". The record is from RNAcentral. Lineage: Eukaryota; Viridiplantae; Streptophyta; Magnoliopsida; Brassicales; Brassicaceae.